Molecule: ribosomal RNA, 186 nt
Filed under: uncultured bacterium
Lineage: Bacteria
Description: partial 16S ribosomal RNA
Rfam family: Bacterial small subunit ribosomal RNA
Source: RNAcentral
CCUACGGGAGGCAGCAGUGGGGAAUAUUGCACAAUGGGCGAAAGCCUGAUGCAGCGACGCCGCGUGAGGGAUGACGGCCUUCGGGUUGUAAACCUCUUUCAGUAGGGAACAAGGCCAGCAUUUUUGUUGGUUGAGGGUACUUGCAGAAGAAGCGCCGGCUAACUACGUGCCAGCAGCCGCGGUAAU